AGCGAACGCUGGCGGCGUGCCUAACACAUGCAAGUCGAACGUGAAAAGGGAAACCUGAGUAAAGUGGCGUACGGGUGUGUACCGCGUAGGUAAUCUACCCCAGAAUCUGGAAUAACCUGCCGAAAGGCGGGCUAAUACUGGAUAGAGCGAGGGAACUCGUAAGAGAGUUUUUCGGGAAAGGGAGCCCGCAAGGGCCUUCGUUCUGGGAUGAGCCUGCGUCUCAUUAGCUAGUUGGUAAGGUAACGGCUUAGCAAGGCGAUGAUGAGUAGCUGGUCUGAGAGGCUGAUCAGCCACACUGGAACUGAAACACGGUCCAGACUCCUACGGGAGGCAGCGGUGGGGAAUCUUGCGCAAUGGACGAAAGUCUGACGCAGCCACGCCGCGUUGGUGAAGAAGGCCUUCGGGUUGUAAAACUCUGUCGGAUGGGACGAACAUCUUCAUAGUGAAUAGCUAUGAGGACUGACGGUACCAUCAAAGGAAGCACCGGCUAACUCCGUG
Molecule: ribosomal RNA, 498 nt
Filed under: uncultured bacterium
Lineage: Bacteria
Description: partial 16S ribosomal RNA
Rfam family: Bacterial small subunit ribosomal RNA
Source: RNAcentral